Molecule: ribosomal RNA, 1463 nt
Filed under: uncultured prokaryote
Description: partial 16S ribosomal RNA
Rfam family: Bacterial small subunit ribosomal RNA
Source: RNAcentral
ACGAACGUUAGCGGUGUGGAUUAGGCAUGCAAGUCGCGCGCGAAAGCCUUCGGGCGAGUAAAGCGGCGCAAGGGUGAGUAACACGUAACCAACGUACCCUUCAGACCGGAAUAACCACUGGAAACGGUGGGUAAUGCCGGAUGGACCUCCGGGCGGCAUCGACUGGAAGGUAAACGGCGGCUUCGGCUGCUGCUGGGGGAGCGGGUUGCGGCCUAUCAGCUUGAUGGUGGGGUAACGGCCUACCAUGGCAAUGACGGGUAGCGGGUCUGAGAGGAUGAUCCGUCACACUGGGACUGAGACACUGCCCAGACUCCUACGGGAGGCUGCAGUCGAGAAUCUUCCACAAUGGGCGAAAGCCUGAUGGAGCGACGCUGCGUGCAGGAUGAAGGCCUUAGGGUUGUAAACUGCUGUCACGCUAUAGGAAACCACGGUGGUGAAUAGUCAUCGUGCUGACCAAAGCGAGAGGAAGUGCCGGCUAACUCCGUGCCAGCAGCCGCGGUAAUACGGAGGGCGCAAGCGUUGUUCGGAAUCACUGGGCAUAAAGCGCACGUAGGCGGCCAUUCAAGUCAGGUGUGAAAGCCCUCGGCCCAACCGAGGAACUGCAUUCGAUACUGGCUGACUAGAGAAAUAGAGAGGAUGGCGGAAUUCCCAGUGUAGAGGUGAAAUUCGUAGAUAUUGGGAAGAACACCAGUGGCGAAGGCGGCCAUCUGGCUCGGUUCUGACGCUGAGGCGCGAAAGCGUGGGGAGCAAACAGGAUUAGAUCCCCUGGUAGUCCACGCCGUAAACGAUGUGUGCUAGCCGUUGGGAAACCUAGUUUUUCAGGCGCAGCUAACGCAUUAAGCACACCGCCUGGGGAGUACGAUCGCAAGAUUAAAACUCAAAGGAAUUGACGGGGGCCCGCACAAGCGGUGGAGCAUGUGGUUUAAUUCGACGCAACGCGAAGAACCUUACCAGCCCUUGACAUGGGGAUCGCGGAAUCCGGAGACGGAUUCCUUCAGUUAGGCUGGAUCCCGCACAGGUGCUGCAUGGCUGUCGUCAGCUCGUGUCGUGAGAUGUUGGGUUAAGUCCCGCAACGAGCGCAACCCUCGUCUUCAGUUGCCAUCAGUUCGGCUGGGCACUCUGGAGAAACUGCCGGUGCCCGGCCGGAGGAAGGCGGGGAUGACGUCAAGUCCUCAUGGCCCUUAUGGGCUGGGCUACACACGUGCUACAAUGGCGGUGACAGUGGGAAACAAUAGGGCGACCUGGAGUUAAUCCCCAAAAGCCGUCUCAGUUCGGAUUGCACUCUGCAACUCGAGUGUAUGAAGUUGGAAUCGCUAGUAAUCGUGGAUCAGCACGCCACGGUGAAUACGUUCCCGGGCCUUGUACACACCGCCCGUCACGCCAUGGGAGUUGGCUUUACCCGAAGCCGGUGUGCUAACCUUCUGGGAGGCAGCCGACCACGGUAAGGUCAGCGACUGGGGUGA